GAUGAACGCUGGCGGCGUGCCUAAUACAUGCAAGUCGAGCGAACGGACGAUAAGCUUGCUUCUCUGAUGUUAGCGGCGGACGGGUGUGUAACACGUGUAUAACCUACCUAUAAGUCUGGUAUAACUUCGGGAAACCGUAUCUAAUACCGUAUAAUCUUUUGAACCGCAUGGUUCAAAAGUGAAAUACGGCCUUGCUGUCACUUAUCGCUGGAUCCGCGCUGCUUUAGCUAGUUGGUAAGGUAACGGCUUACCAAGGCAACGAUGCAUAGCCGACGUGAGAGGGUGGUCGGCCACACUGGAGCUGAGACACGGUCCAGACGACUACGGGAGGCAGCAGAAGGGAAUCUUACGCAAUGGGCGAGAGCAUGACGGAGCAACGCCGCGUGAGAGAUGAAGGUCUUCGGAUCGGAAAACUCUGUUAUUAGGGAAGAACAUAUGUGUAAGUAACUGUGCACAGCGUGACGGUACCUAAUCAGAAAGCAACGGCUAACUACGUG
RNAcentral lists this ribosomal RNA (497 nucleotides) under uncultured bacterium. RNAcentral describes it as "partial 16S ribosomal RNA". It matches the Rfam family "Bacterial small subunit ribosomal RNA", at positions 28 to 507 of the family's 1533-position model. The record is from RNAcentral.